RNA transcript from Folsomia candida, 3393 nucleotides. It is a transcript of the gene named ABC transporter G family member 23, with no coding region annotated. The transcript is spliced from 17 exons. The record is from RefSeq and is a predicted model, not a curated record. Lineage: Eukaryota; Metazoa; Arthropoda; Collembola; Entomobryomorpha; Isotomidae.
AAUUUAUAAAUCUCUCAUUUCUUGUUUAGCCGUUCAUAAAAAUAGUUAAAUUUUCAGGUUUAUUCUUACAAUAACAUAUUUGUAUUUGAAAACAAGCCUCAAAAUGUAUAACUUGACCGAUUGUUCAGCAUUAAGGAUCGUUUCUGGCAGUAAAUCCUACUCGAACAAGGUGAUCCUAGACGGAGUGGACAUCACGGUGGAAAAAGGAAUAAUCUACGCACUUCUUGGACCGAGUGGAUGUGGAAAGACUCUACCAUCAGACAAAUCAGAAAGAACCACUCUACUUUCAUGCCAUAGAUCGGAGUACUCCGGCCUCCGGAGGCCGGAGUACGCAGCUUUUUCUGGAGGCCGGAGUACGCGGAGGCCGGAGUACACGUGGCCAGCCGGAGGCCGGAGUACACAUGGCCGGCCGGAGGCCGGAGUACGGAGGCCGGAGUACGCAAAAUUUCCGAUCGCAUAGAUAGGAGAAUUCCGGUCUUGGAGUACGUACUCCGGCCUCCGGAGGCCGGAGUACGCGACUUUUUCUGGAGGCCGGAGUACGCGGAGGCCGGAGUACGCGUGGCCAGCCGGAGGCCGGAGUACGCGGAGGCCGGAGUACGCAUUGCCGGCCGGAGGCCGGAGUACGCGGAGGCCGGAGUACGCAAAAUAUCCGAUCUAUGUUUCAUGCAUCAUGGGAAUUCAGCAGUUGAAUGGAGGAAAAAUUGAAUUAUUUGGAAAGGAUUUGUCCACCUUUCGAAAUGGGAUGCCUGGCCGUCUAAUCGGUUAUAUGCCACAGGAAACUUGUCUGUAUGAGUCUUUUACAAUUUUGGAGACCUUCAUCUACUACGGAAGACUUUAUUGUAUGCCGUCAGAUAAGAUUGUAUGCAACCUGGCAACUUUAAAAACUGUCAUGAAUCUACCAAGUUUGAACAGCAACGUGAAUAAUAUCAGCGGUGGGGAGAGGCGUCGUGUCUCCCUCGGCGUGGCCUUACUACAUGACCCCCAAAUUCUUAUCUUAGACGAACCCUGCGUUGGAAUUGAUCGAGUUUUACGUCAAGGAAUCUGGGAUUACUUGGAACGUCUUGUUAAAUCUAAAGGAACAACGGUUUUCCUCACGACGCACUAUGUACAAGAAACAAGACAAUGUGCAAAGAUUGGAUACCUUCGAGAUGGCCGAAUGCUGGUGCAAGAAUCUCCGAAUGCAUUGCUAGAAAAAUAUGGUCCUAACUCCGAGUUGAACGCCAACGCACUCGACGACAUAAUGCUACACUUUUGCAAAACGCAAGUUUCUCCAACACGCAACAUUAUAACACAUUGUCGUCCUAAACUUUCAAAAAUGGAGAAUGCAUUGAACCAAAAGGUGCAAUUACUAAAAGUUGGAGUUGUCGAAGCCCUCUCGAAUGUAGAACCAUUUGAAGAAACUCUGCAGUCUAAAGUUUCAAAUCUUUGUGAACACUCGAAGAACUACUAUUCUCAACUGAAGGCACUCACAAUCUGGAAUUUGAUUGUGUACAUAAGAUACCCAUUACUGCCUCUGAGCCAACUAGUGUGCUUCCUCGUGAACAUUUACCUGAUCUUAUAUACGGUUGGAAAUGAUCCAAUUGGCCUUAACUUGGGGACAAUAACUGACCGACCUUGUGACAAGAUGAGUGACCAGUCACUAGCCACGAAAGAUUAUGCCUGUCAAUAUUUAAACAUCCUGGAAAAAUCACAGAUUAAUGUGGUACCCAUGGACUCUGAAUUCGAUGCAUUACAAGCCAUUAAAAUGGGGAGUAUCAAGGGGUAUUUAAAAUUCCCUGAAAAUUUUACACAAAACGUACUAAAACGGUUAGUCUGGAAUGUUCAUGCCGAUGAAGAAAUUGUAAAUGGAUCAGCUAUUUUGAUUCAAUUGGAUAAUUCAGAAUACAUGAACUCCUACUUUGUUACGAAGUCAUUGUAUGAAUCCAUGCAAAAGUUAAUGAAAGAAAUUGCAACGGAGUAUGGGAUUGACGAACGAAAGGUCACAAUACCAUUGUCGUUUCACACCGUCUAUGGCAAUCUGUCCGACACUUGGAACACAUUUUUCGUACCAAUGUUACUACUCAUAAUGUGGAUGCUCCUGUCAGCAACGAUGGGAUUUCUGCACGUGACAGACACAUAUGAUGGGACGCUAACCCGCACGAUGGCGACGGGAGUCGAUUUUCACAAAGUUUUACUUUCCUAUUACAUUGCAGACAUUCCGCUAACCAUAAUUCAGGCGGGAUUGUUCAUCUUGUGCGUCUGGUGGGAUCGGGGUGACAAAAUUAAAGGAAGCUGGGCGUUAAUCGGUCUCGUCUUAUAUCUCGUUCGGAUUCCAACUAUCGGGUUUUAUCUUACCCUUGCGGCACUAAAAAUCUCCGUGAAGGAUACAAUUAUGGCGGGGAUUUCUAUAUUGCAGAUUUACCUAUAUGCAUCAGUGAGCGAGGGUGGUAGCGCAAGAGCGAUCAGGAACUGGGGUCGUGGUCCUCGGGGGGAUUAUGCCUCUGGGGGACGGGGGGAAGACACCUCGUACAGGAACCUCCGGGGAUCCCACGAUUCCCUUAAUCAAGUCCUUCUUAAUAUUUAUGGAUGAGGGGAUGAAUUGAUGAUGAUGCUGCUGAGAGAGGGCCGGAUGAUGAUGAUGAGGAAGAGGGCGGAAUCGUCCACUUUUGGGGUGUGGUGGGGGUCGUUCCCGAAGUCCCACGGUGAGAACACCCUUACAGUCGGAUAGGGGACCUCUUCAGCUCUGCUGGGGCCCGUGGUGGGAUCACCACCACAAGAAGGGGGGAUGGGGGAGUGGUUCUCCUGCGACACGUUGGUAGAACACUCCGUGAUGCACAAUAUGGGGCGAGUGCGUAUUAACUGUCCAAGUUUUUGCGUACGUGCACAAUAUGGAGGAAUACAACUUGUGAAGAUUCCAUGACACCCAAUAAUGUUCCUGUUGUGCACAAUUUAUAGUUUCUUUACUAACAACACUAAUUUAUUAAACAGAGAGAGAGAGAGAGAUUGACAAGAAUUAUCUUCCCAGAAACUUUGGGGAAGUUUUGAAGUGAGUCGCAAGUGUGAUGCGUAGUCGAGUCGAGGUGGUGCGGGAGAAGACGGCGUGGAAGCCAGGAUGAGAGCAAUGGCGACGGAGACGCUUGGUUCUCCGGAGUAGUGGUCUGGCCAUGCUCCCGAGACCAAGUAGGGGGAGAGGGAGGGGAUUGAUGAGGAUGGGGUCGCCCAUAGACUCCGUCCUCACAAUUAGUACGACGAUAUGUACUUAUCUAGUAAUGAUACAUUUUGGCCCAUCGAGACUGUCGUGUGGUGGUACCGGUACUUCCGCUUCUGCUUCUGUCUUAACGAUAUGCAUGUAGUAUAUAAAUACUCAUUUAUGUAUUCACAAUUAUGUUAUAUUAAGCUAAUUUCUUACUUGGC